Molecule: small RNA, 4265 nt
Filed under: uncultured Chroococcidiopsis sp.
Lineage: Bacteria; Bacillati; Cyanobacteriota; Cyanophyceae; Chroococcidiopsidales; Chroococcidiopsidaceae
Description: bacterial LSU rRNA
Rfam family: Bacterial large subunit ribosomal RNA (bases 1795-4265)
Source: RNAcentral
CGAAAGCCUGACGGAGCAAUACCGCGUGAGGGAGGAAGGCCCUUGGGUUGUAAACCUCUUUUCUCAGGGAAGAAGAAUGACGGUACCUGAGGAAUCAGCAUCGGCUAACUCCGUGCCAGCAGCCGCGGUAAUACGGAGGAUGCAAGCGUUAUCCGGAAUGAUUGGGCGUAAAGCGUCCGCAGGUGGCGAUUCAAGUCUGCUGUCAAAGGUCCUGGCUCAACUGGGAACAGGCAGUGGAAACUGAAUAGCUAGAGUGCGGUAGGGGUAGAGGGAAUUCCCGGUGUAGCGGUGAAAUGCGUAGAGAUCGGGAAGAACACCAGUGGCGAAAGCGCUCUACUAAGCCUGCACUGACACUCAGGGACGAAAGCUAGGGGAGCGAAUGGGAUUAGAUACCCCAGUAGUCCUAGCCGUAAACGAUGGAUACUAGGCGUGGCUUGUAUCGACCCGAGCCGUGCCGGAGCUAACGCGUUAAGUAUCCCGCCUGGGGAGUACGCGCGCAAGCGUGAAACUCAAAGGAAUUGACGGGGGCCCGCACAAGCGGUGGAGUAUGUGGUUUAAUUCGAUGCAACGCGAAGAACCUUACCAGGGCUUGACAUGUCCGGAACCUCGGGGUAACUUGAGGGUGCCUACGGGAGCCGGAACACAGGUGGUGCAUGGCUGUCGUCAGCUCGUGUCGUGAGAUGUUGGGUUAAGUCCCGCAACGAGCGCAACCCUCGUGCUUAGUUGCCAGCGGGUAAAGCCGGGCACUCUAAGGAGACUGCCGGUGACAAACCGGAGGAAGGUGGGGAUGACGUCAAGUCAGCAUGCCCCUUACGUCCUGGGCUACACACGUACUACAAUGCUGCGGACAAAGGGCAGCAAGCCAGCGAUGGCAAGCCAAUCCCAUAAACCGUGGCUCAGUUCAGAUUGUAGGCUGCAACUCGCCUACAUGAAGGCGGAAUCGCUAGUAAUCGCCGGUCAGCCAUACGGCGGUGAAUACGUUCCCGGGCCUUGUACACACCGCCCGUCACACCAUGGAAGCUGGCUAUGCCCGAAGUCGUUACCCUAACCUGCAAGGGAGGGGGAUGCCGAAGGCAGAGCUGGUGACUGGGGUGAAGUCGUAACAAGGUAGCCGUACCGGAAGGUGUGGCUGGAUCACCUCCUUUCUAGGGAGACCCACAGAAUAAGUCGUUAAGUCGUAAGUCGUAAUUGCGAGUUAUUCUGUAAUCCCAAGGUCGGUCGAAGACAAUAGCAGAGUGUGAGGCUUUCAAACUAUAAAGUGGUUUGGUAAGAAGGCAUAGGGGCUAUUAGCUCAGGUGGUUAGAGCGCACCCCUGAUAAGGGUGAGGUCCCUGGUUCAAGUCCAGGAUGGCCCACCUCAAAAUGAUUAGUAAUUCGUAAUUCAUAAUUCGUAAUUAAAGAACCUAAUUACGGGCUACGAGUUAGUAAUUAUGAAUUAUCUUGCGGGGGUAUAGCUCAGUUGGUAGAGCGCUGCCUUUGCAAGGCAGAAGCCAGCGGUUCGAGUCCGCUUACCUCCACCUGGCAGCUAAAAAAUUUUCUAGUCUUGGAAAAACAAUAAGAGUGGCAUAUUGGUACAACAAACUGCCUUAAUUUUGUUAGACUAGACUAGUUAUGGAAAUAGCUUCAGCACCAAGACGCAAGAGAUAGCGUCAGGCUGCUGGAGAUGAUACCAGCCAGCACCUUGAAAACUGCAUAGUAACGCGAAAUUGUAGGCAGUCAGUAGUCAGUAGUUAGUAGUCGGGAGAAACAACUGGCAACUAACAACUAACAACUGACAAAAUACAGACACCAAUGUGGUCAAGCUAAAUCGAGCUGAUGGUGGAUACCUAGGCACACAGAGGCGAAGAAGGACGUGGCGACCGACGAAACACUCCGAGGAGCUGGAAGCAAGCAUUGAGUCGGAGGUCUCCGAAUGGGGCAACCCCAAGUACAGUUUGCUGAAUCCAUAGGCAGACAUGAGCCAACCCAGCAAAUUGAAACAUCUUAGUAGCUGGUGGAAAAGAAAGAAAACUCGAUUCCCCAAGUAGUGGUGAGCGAAAGGGGAAUAGCCUAAACCAGUUGAUUGCUCAACUGGGGUAGUGGGACAGCGGUGUGGAAUCUGGAAGUUAGACAAAGCAGCUAAAUACUGCACCAGAGAAGGUGAAAGUCCUGUAGUCGAAAACCGCCCAGAUACUAGCUGGAUCCCGAGUAGCACGGGACACGAGAAAUCCGGUGUGAAUCAGCGAGGACCACCUCGUAAGGCUAAAUACUACUGUGUGACCGAUAGUGAACCAGUACCGCGAGGGAAAGGUGAAAAGAACCCCGGAAGGGGAGUGAAAUAGAACAUGAAACCAUCAGCUUUCAAGCAAUGGGAGGACGAUUCAACGUCUGACCGUGUGCCUGUUGAAGAAUGAGCCGGCGACUUAUAAGCACUGGUAGGUUAAGGUCAAUAGCCGUAGCCACAGCGAAAGCGAGUCUGACAAGGGCGAAUUAAUCAGUGUUUAUAGACCCGAACCCGGGUGAUCUAACCAUGUCCAGGAUGAAGCUUGGGUAACACCAAGUGGAGGUCCGCACCGACCGAUGUUGAAAAAUCGGCGGAUGAGGUGUGGUUAGGGGUGAAAUGCCAAUCGAACCCGGAGCUAGCUGGUUCUCCCCGAAAUGUGUUGAGGCGCAGCGGUGAUGAUUAUAACUGGGGGGUAAAGCACUGUUUCGGUGCGGGCUGCUAGCGCGGUACCAAAUCGAGACAAACUCUGAAUACCCAGCGCACACAUCACCAGUGAGACGGUGGGGGAUAAGCUUCAUCGUCGAGAGGGAAACAGCCCAGACCACCAGCUAAGGUCCCAAAAUUGGCGCUAAGUGAUUAAGGAGGUGGGAGUGCAAAGACAACCAGGAGGUUUGCCUAGAAGCAGCCAACCUUAAAAGAGUGCGUAAUAGCUCACUGGUCAAGCGCUCCUGCGCCGAAAAUGAAUGGGGCUAAGCGCCAUACCGAAGCUAUGGGAUACAUUUGUAUCGGUAGGGGAGCGUUCCGCUGUUAGGGUGAAGCACUAGCGGUAAGCAGGUGUGGACGAAGCGGAAGUGAGAAUGUCGGCUUGAGUAGCGAAAACAUUGGUGAGAAUCCAAUGCCCCGAAACCCUCAGGGUUCCUCCGGCAGGUUCGUCCACGGAGGGUUAGUCAGGACCUAAGGCGAGGCCGAACGGCGUAGUCGAUGGACAACGGGUGAACAAUCCCGUACUGAAGUUAGUUGGUGCAGAGGGACGGAGAAGGCAAAGCCAGCCGGAAGUUGGUUACCGGUUUAACUGUUCAAGGCUGUGAGAGGUGGCGAAAACGCCUCGAGCUAAGGCAGGAGUACGAGGCGCUACGGUGCCGAAGUGGUGUAGUCCGGCUCCCAAGAAAAGCUCUAAACACCAUAAAUUAACUUUACCUGUACCCGAAACCGACACAGGUAGGGAGGUUGAGAAUACCAAGGGGCGCGAGAUAACUCUCUCUAAGGAACUCGGCAAAAUGGCCCCGUAACUUCGGAAGAAGGGGUACCCACUUAAAACGUGGGUCGCAGUGAAGAGAUCCAGGCGACUGUUUACCAAAAACACAGGUCUCCGCUAAGUCGAGUGACGACGUAUGGGGGCUGACGCCUGCCCAGUGCCGGAAGGUUAAGGAAGUCGGUCAGGGGGAAACCCUAAAGCUGGCGACCGAAGCCCCGGUGAACGGCGGCCGUAACUAUAACGGUCCUAAGGUAGCGAAAUUCCUUGUCGGGUAAGUUCCGACCCGCACGAAAGGCGUAACGAUCUGGAUGGUGUCUCAGAGAGAGGCUCGGCGAAAUAGGAAUGUCUGUGAAGAUACGGACUGCCUGCACCUGGACAGAAAGACCCUAUGAAGCUUUACUGUAGCCUGGAAUGGUGUCCGGGCUUCGCUUGCGCAGGAUAGGUGGGAGGCGUAGAGGUUGCCCUUGUGGGGGCAACGGAGCCAACGGUGAGAUACCACUCUGGCGAAGCUAGGAUUCUAACUGGUAGCCGUUAGCCGGCACUAGAACAGUUUCAGGUGGGCAGUUUGACUGGGGCGGUCGCCUCCUAAAAGAUAACGGAGGCGCGCAAAGGUUCCCUCAGGCUGGUUGGAAAUCAGCCGCAGAGUGUAAAGGCACAAGGGAGCUUGACUGCAAGAGCAACAACUCAAGCAGGUAGGAAACUAGGCCUUAGUGAUCCGACGGCGCUGAGUGGAAGGGCCGUCGCUCAACGGAUAAAAGUUACUCUAGGGAUAACAGGCUGAUCUCCGCCAAGAGUUCACAUCGACGCG